Molecule: RNA transcript, 2070 nt
Organism: Zingiber officinale
Lineage: Eukaryota; Viridiplantae; Streptophyta; Magnoliopsida; Zingiberales; Zingiberaceae
Gene name: protein MODIFIED TRANSPORT TO THE VACUOLE 1-like
Exons: 4
Source: RefSeq, a predicted model, not a curated record
GGAACGAACGGUUCCUCUUUUCUCCCGUCGUCUCCUCGUUCCUCCCUCUGCUACUUCAAAUCUCUGCUCGAUUUCAGCUACACGGACACUGGAUUUAUUCUUUGGGAUUUAUUUCAUCUCUCAAUCGCUGUCUUCGUCGGAAGGAUUGCUCAAUUAGGCCGUUUAACUUUGAGUUUUCCUGGUGCUGCGAUCUUGAUUUUGUGAGUGUAGCGGAAUAAGAAUUGGUUGUUUUCUUUACGAAUGGAUCAAACCCGCAGAGCGGUGGAAACGUAUUGGAGGCCUCGUAUGGUUGAUGGAGUGACUUCGGACGAAGAUAAGGUUACUCCUGCUUACAAAUUGGAGGAAAUUUGUGAUCUUUUGCGUACUUCUCCCGUGGGCAUUGUGAAGGAGGUGUCUGAUUAUAUCCUCAAACGCCUUGAUCAAAAAAGCCCAAUUGUGAAGCAAAAGGUUCUUCGGCUGAUCAAGUAUGCAGUGAGAAAAUCUGGAAAUGAGUUCAGGAGGGAAAUGCAAAGGCAUUCUACAGUGAUUUGUCAACUGUUCCAUUAUAAAGGUGAGCUAGAUCCCCUUAAAGGGGAUGCCCUUAAUAAGCUGUUCGGGAAACUGCUCACGAGGCCAUUGCUGCUGUCUUUGCAUCUGAUGAGAACAAGACAAUUACACCAGUAGGUCUUAAUAAGCGCAUCCAAGGCUUUGGUAAUACAAAUUUUGAGGUUCCUGCUGAAGAGAAAAGAUCAUUUGUCAGUGAAGUGGUAGGUCUUGGUAGCGCCACCAUCAAGCACAGACUAAACACCAUAGCUGCUGCCCACUUGUCAGGAAAGGACGAUACUGGCAGUUAUAGGAGUCCAAAUCUUUGAAGGUCUCUAACGACAGAAAUAGACAAUCGUAAUGAUUAUCAAGGGAUUGAAUACCGGACAGAAAGCCAGGAUGCUUCUGGGGUGUCAGGAAGAAAUUCUGGGACAUGGGUUUCUAAUUCAACGCUGAGUGUUCCCACCUCUGCAGGAAGUGAGGACACAACUUCAAGUAAUAGUGGGGUUAAGAGUCAUGAGGGAAGACUUUUGGAAACAAUUGUCACAUCUGGUGGUGUUCGUUUACAACCAACUUGUGAUGCUCUGCAAGUUUUUCUUUUGGAGGCUGCAAAAUUGGAUGGAUUGGCUAUGAGUCAUGCCUUAGAGAUGAAGCUCAAAUCUCAAUUGUGGCAGUUUUUCCAUGCGCAGAUGACUGUCCUCAAGUAUGUCUGAAAAGUUAGCAUGCAUCAACAAGCUACAGGAUAAAAUGUUGAGCUGAAAGGAAAAGAGCCUGAGGCAACUGAAGUGGACUUCUAAAGGAGCAGGUUGAGAACUUGACUUUAACUUGCACAAGCAAGAGAGUGCGGAGCAUUCGCUAAAGUAUCAAGUGCAGAAAUGAGAGCCAACAACUCAUCUCCCGCAAUGUUCGAUUAACCUUGAUCAACCAUGCUCUCCAAAUCAAUCUUCAUACUCAGAAGAAAGCUUCCUUUGACCUAAAGAGGCCUUACAAAUUCAAGCAGCCAAGCACAACAAAGUUGUAGAGACUUGGAGUAUGUUCACAAGAGAGAGCUAAACCAACACAUUGUUCAACAAGCAUGGUCCAGGAAAUUCAAACAAACCCUAUCAUAGAGCACGUACUGAUCAGAGAUGCAAGAGGGCCGUGACAAUAAAACUUUUGAAGAGGAUGUCUGUCAGUUUGACAACUACGAUCUACCACUGAAGCAGUAGACCAAAUUCCUAGCAGAGAGAUUGAAAGAGAAAAACAAGACUGUUAUAGGUGAGGGGGAAAAAAUAACUUAACUCUUUGUUGGUUUACACUUUUCAAGUCUUUUCAUUUCAAAACCUGCUGUGCAUAAGAACUCACUCUUAGCAACAAUUGAUCUAGACUAUUUCUUAAUAUUUCUUGCACCCUUGCUUUGUUUUUGCAAUUCAAUUUGUUCUUUCUCUUAAACUCAAUUAUCUACCUUCCAUUGUCAAUUCUUUGAACCUCGGCAUUCAAGCCUGAUUUAGACCUUUUCCUACCUCAAUCUGAGACUCAGGUCUUUGACACCCCAACUUUAACUCUUGC